UUUGUUUUGAGAUCGGAUUUUAAUGUAUGUGUCAUCAAAACAGUGUAACUGUUAUCAUUUCUUAACAUUUUAGGGCAGAAAAAGACAUGGUCUUUACAAACACUAGUCCCCAAGCUCACGCACGUGUUUUACUGGAUUGCUUCUUCCUCAGACAAGAUGUUCUCAGCAUAAACACCUAGGAAUCUCCUGCUUUUGCUGUCUCACUGCCUUCUGCAGGACUUGUGGAGAGCUAUAACAUCACCUGGGCCAUCUCCAAAGAGCAGCCUACUCCCUAUGUCACCUUCAUCUGGAAAGCCAGGCUCUGCAGAGACCCCGUCCAACUCACCGAGGAGCCGCUCGCAGCGGUCCCAACGCGGUUCCCGGCCACUCUUAACGUGGUCCCGGUGCCGCUUCCCGCCUCCAUGUCCGGCCCUGUGGGGACGAAGGGAGUGAGCGCCACAUACUGCGAGCCCGCAGCACGACCCGCUCCCCCUCUGUGUGUCCCCCCCCUCCGCGUGUCCCCCCCCUCCGCUUCCUCGAAUGGUCGGGCCCAACCCCAGCGGCCCUGGGGACCGGGAAGCACGGCGGACGCCACCACUGCGGGGACGGGGGAUGCGGGUCCUCACCUUAUCGUGGCUAAAUGAUAAGGCGUGCUACACGUUAAUGGCGCCUCCCCCUGCCCACCUUCACCGC
RNAcentral lists this long non-coding RNA (672 nucleotides) under Strigops habroptila (Kakapo). RNAcentral describes it as "lncRNA (ENSSHBG00005016028.1)". Lineage: Eukaryota; Metazoa; Chordata; Aves; Psittaciformes; Psittacidae. The record is from RNAcentral.